This 3285-nucleotide long non-coding RNA is filed under the name Homo sapiens (human). Its description in RNAcentral is "ZNF667 antisense RNA 1". The record is from RNAcentral. Lineage: Eukaryota; Metazoa; Chordata; Mammalia; Primates; Hominidae.
GGCGGACAGCGGAAGGUCCGGGAGUGUCCGCCAUAAAGUCGUUUGAGGUGACCGUUGCGUAAUUGUGAGUCUGUGAGAGAAGAUGUGAAGUAUGGCCUCGUCCCGGUCAUCUGGGCGUGCGGGUCCCGGGUUUUGAUCGCGCGUUUGUGUAGAAUAAAAGAAAUGACAGCCACCAUAGAGGAACUAGCCAAAGUUAAUAUUAGUCGGCCAGCCCAGAGUCCCUUCAGGAGUUCUGUGUGACUGGGAAAGGAAAUCUGACAGCACCGGGCACGUGACAGUAGACUACAGGGAAUUCAAUAAGAGUUUGACUCUUCGUCAACAAUAAUCUGGCGCCCAAACGUGGGGCCUCAGAGAAGACUCAGGACCCCUAAGGAGUUGCCUGAAACCGGAGCUAAGGUACCAGCAGGGGCCCAUUGAAGUCCCACUGAGUUCAAGCUUCUCCUCCGGUGGAACUGAUAAUAAACUCCAAGACCUUCAAAAACCAAAAGGAAGACUUUUUUUUCAUCUUACACUGAAGAUACCACAUUAUUUUUAUGCAUGGAAGGGGUCUCAGCACUAUUUCAAUGAAUACAGUCCCAAUCCCCAUUUGAAAAAUAAGAAAACUGAGGCUCAUAGAAGUUAUGUCAUCUUUCUGCCGAAAAACAGCUAUUAAAAAGUUGGAUAGUCACUGUUUGAAUGCAGACACUUGGAGCUCUGAAAGGAGAGCAUUUAUGCAGGAACAUGCAAGAUCAUGGACCUUGGGGCCAUGCCAUGCUGCUAUACCAAAAUUGAAGUAGUUAAAAAUAUGGAUACUCCAUGGGUUCAUAGGGGAACCUCGCAAGAUGCUGGAGACUUGGAUAAGCUGACAAAACUAGAACACGUUUUAAAUUUGGGGGCGGGAGCAUUACAGCCUUUAAAAUAUCUUUUAUAAAAAUUCCACUCCCAAAAUCUGAGAGUACUUGUCAGAAACAGUAUUUUUUUAAACUCGGAAUACAGGUUAAAAUCCAAGCUCCUUAAUUCUGUAUUUAAGGCUGUCCAUGAUAUCGACCAUGCAGACGUUAGUAGCUUCAUGUCUUGACCACACCUGACUCCCAACCCUGACUCCAAGCUGUGCCAGCUCUGCUCUCCCUGUGCAGUCUUCUGGGUUGUCCUCUGUCUUGGUUCAUUGGUAGAAUAGUCACAAACUUUGUUCCAUACCUUAAUCUUUUUAAGUUAACAGGGGAUCCUAGAGGCCACUCUGCAGUGGUGUGGCAGUAUUCCUUAUUCUUGUUGUAAGUUGGGUGCUGUUCCAGGAUAUUGUCGGUGGGAAUUUUGGUUCUUUUUUGCUAUUACAAAUAAGAAACAUUUGAAUAGUUUUGUAAAUCUACCUUUUUCGUGGUUUUGCUUGUAUACUUUUUUCACUGGAGAAGGGGGAAUUCUGCAUGAAAAUGUAAAUUUUAAGUGUUAGAAUGUGAGGAUUUGCAAACUUAUCUUACACAGACUUGUGUCAUUUUCCUUCUAACCGCCAACAUAUGAGCAUACCUGUCUACCCAGGGUCUCUCCACUAGAGUGAUCUGAAUAAUUUGAAUGCUAGCUGUGUGGUAGGAAGGAGCCUCCCCACCGCUCUCAACACCAAAGAUGUCCAUGUCUUAAUCUCAAAAUCUGUUCAUUUGUUACUUUUCAUGGCAAAAAUGACUUUGCCAAUGUGAUUAAAGGAUCUUCAAACAGGGAGAGCACCAUGGACUAUUCAGGUGAAGGCACUGUAAUCACAUGGGUCAUUAUAGGAGGGAGGCUGAAGUGUAAGAAGCAAAGGAGACCUGAUGACAAGAGAGAUGCAGCCUUGUGACAAGAAAUGAGGGCAGCCUGUAGAACAGGAGUCCCCAACCCCUGGGCCGCAGACCGGUACCAGUCUGUGACCUGUUAGAAACUAGGCCACACAGAAGGAGUUGAGCAGCGAGCAAACGUCACCGCCUGAGCUCUGCUUCCUGUGAGAUGAGUGGCAGCAUAUUCUCACCGGAGCGUGAACCCUAUUGUGAACUGCGCAUGUGAGGGAUCUAGGUUGAACGCUUCUUAUGAGAAUCUAACUAAUGCUUGAUGACCUGAAGUGGAACAGUUUCACCUUGAAACCAUUGCCCCAUCCAUCUUCCAGAAAUCCCAUCCCUGGUGCCAAAAUGGUUGAGGACCACUGCUCUUGAAGCCAGCAAAGGCAAGAAGUAGAUUCUCUCCUGGAGCCUCAGGAAUGGCAGGCAGCUAGGCCCAGACAUUAAUUUUAGCUCAUAAAGUAUAUUUUGGAAUUCUGAACUACACAACAUAAUUUUUUUGUUUUGUUUUGCUUUAACUGCUAUGUUUAUGGUAAUUUGUUACAGCGGAGAUAAAAAAAUGAAUACACUUCUCAGUAUGAUAGGUAAGAAAUGGUAUCUCAGUGUAGUGUGAAUUACACUCCUCUUAUUUUGAAUGUCAUAAGUUAUCUUUUUUAAUGUUCAUAGUACUUAGAAUAAUUUGUAUGGACAAAGCACGUUGACUGAGCUUCUGUUGCUAACUGGAGGUAUCGGAUAUUUAACAACACUUAGAAGUUUGGAUGGCAACAUUCAUUUAAACUGUGAGACAGUAAUACCUGUUGAGGUGCAGAAACUCCACUACCCCUUCAAGAAUCCUUUUUUUUUUUUUGAGACAGAGUUUUGCUCUUGCUGCCCAGGCUGGAGUUCAGUGGCGUGAUCUCGGCUCACCACAACCUCCGCCUCCCAGAUUCAAGCGAUUCUCCCGCCUCAGCCUCCCAUAGCUGGGAUUACAGGCAUGAGCCACCACGCCCGGCUAAUUUUGUAUUUUUAGUAGAGACAGGGUUUCUCCAUGUUGGUCAGGCUGGUCUCGAACUCCCGACCUCAGGUGAUCCUCCUGCCUCAGCCUCCCAAAGUGCUGGGAUUACAGGCGUGAGCCACUGCACCUGGAAGAAUCCAUUUUUUUUUUGAGACAGGGUCUUGCUCUGUUGCCUGGGCUGGAGUGCAGUGGUGUGACUAUGGCUCACUGCAGCCUUGAAUUCCUGGGCUCUAGCAAUCCUCCCACUUCAGCCACCUGAGCAGCUGGGACUACAGGCAUGGGCCAGCAUGUCCAGCUAAUUUUUUUGAUUUUUAGAAGAGACGAGGUCUUACCAUUUUGCCCAGGCCAGUCUCAAACUCCUGAGCUGAAGCAGUCCUCCCAGCUCGACCUCCCGAAGUGCUAGGAUUACAGGUGUGAGCCACUGCACCUGGCCAAGAACCCAUAUUUAGAGUCAGACUCACCAUAUCCUUGAAGAAACCAUUCCAAAUAUUAUUUAAAUGACUCCGUAUUUUU